This 253-nucleotide ribosomal RNA is filed under the name uncultured bacterium. RNAcentral's name for it is "partial 16S ribosomal RNA". It matches the Rfam family "Bacterial small subunit ribosomal RNA", at positions 524 to 776 of the family's 1533-position model. The record is from RNAcentral.
UACGGAGGGUGCAAGCGUUAUCCGGAUUCACUGGGUUUAAAGGGUGCGUAGGUGGAGUGGUAAGUCAGUGGUGAAAUCUCCAAGCUUAACUUGGAACUGCCGUUGAUACUAUCAUUCUUGAAUAUCGUGGAGGUAAGCGGAAUAUGUCAUGUAGCGGUGAAAUGCUUAGAUAUGACAUAGAACACCGAUUGCGAAGGCAGCUUGCUACACGAUCAUUGACACUGAGGCACGAAAAGCGUGGGGAUCAAACAGG